GAGUUUGAUCCUGGUUCAGAACGAACGCUGGCGGCGUGCUUAACACAUGCAAGUCCAACGUGGAAGGGGAGCAAUCCCCCGGUAAGGUGGCGAACGGGUGAGUAAUACAUGGGAAUCUGCCCUGGAGAUGGGGAUAUCCCUCCGAAAGGGGGGCUAAUACCGAAUACCGUCCGAGGUCCGGGAGGACUUUGGGGAAAGGGAGGCCUCUGGCAACACGCUUCCGCUCCGGGAGGAGCCCAUGGCCCAUCAGCUAGUUGGUAGGGUAACGGCCUACCAAGGCAAAGACGGGUAGCUGGUCUGAGAGGACGAUCAGCCACACUGGCACUGAGACACGGGCCAGACUCCUACGGGAGGCAGCAGUGAGGAAUUUUGCACAAUGGGGGCAACCCUGAUGCAGCAACGCCGCGUGUGGGAAGAAGGCUUUCGGGUUGUAAACCACCUUUGCGAAGGACGAAGCCCUGGGGCCAAAUACGCCCAGGGGGUGACGGUACUUUACGAAUAAGCCACGGCUAACUCUGUGCCAGCAGCCGCGGUAAGACAGGGGUGGCAAGCGUUGUUCGGAGUGACUGGGCGUAAGGUCUGUAGGUGGUUUUCCAGUCUU
Molecule: ribosomal RNA, 601 nt
Filed under: uncultured Leptospirillum sp.
Lineage: Bacteria; Pseudomonadati; Nitrospirota; Nitrospiria; Nitrospirales; Nitrospiraceae
Description: bacterial SSU rRNA
Rfam family: Bacterial small subunit ribosomal RNA
Source: RNAcentral